UACGUAGGGGGCAAGCGUUGUCCGGAAUCAUUGGGCGUAAAGCGCGUGUAGGCGGUUCGGUAAGUCGGCUGUGAAAGUCCAGGGCUCAACCCUGGGAUGCCGGUCGAUGCUGCCGGACUAGAGUUCGGAAGAGGCGAGUGGAAUUCCCGGUGUAGCGGUGAAAUGCGCAGAUAUCGGGAGGAACACCAAUGGCGAAGGCAGCUCGCUGGGACGUUACUGACGCUGAGACGCGAAAGCGUGGGGAGCAAACAGG
RNAcentral lists this ribosomal RNA (253 nucleotides) under uncultured bacterium. Its description in RNAcentral is "partial 16S ribosomal RNA". It matches the Rfam family "Bacterial small subunit ribosomal RNA", at positions 524 to 776 of the family's 1533-position model. The record is from RNAcentral.